Non-coding RNA from Vicugna pacos (alpaca), 99 nucleotides. Lineage: Eukaryota; Metazoa; Chordata; Mammalia; Artiodactyla; Camelidae. The record is from RefSeq and is a predicted model, not a curated record.
AUGGAAUCGGGAGAAAAGGAUUAUAAGAAAGUAGUAAAAGUUAAUUUUUUUCUUUCACAGAGACUUCACUGACAUUGAUAGAUAGAUCGGUAGAGCACA